AAGUGGUAGCAAUACCAUGAGUAAAGUGGCGCACGGGUGAGUAACACGUGACUAACCUACCCUGGAGUGGGGAAUAACUGAGGGAAACCUCAGCUAAUACCGCAUAACACCUACGGGUCAAAGGAGCAAUUCGCUUUGGGAGGGGGUCGCGGCCGAUUAGUUAGUUGGCGGGGUAACGGCCCACCAAGACGAUGAUCGGUAUCCGGCCUGAGAGGGCGCACGGACACACUGGAACUGAAACACGGUCCAGACUCCUACGGGAGGCAGCAGUGGGGAAUUUUGCGCAAUGGGGGAAACCCUGACGCAGCAACGCCGCGUGGAGGAUGAAGUCCUUCGGG
RNAcentral lists this ribosomal RNA (338 nucleotides) under uncultured bacterium. Its description in RNAcentral is "bacterial SSU rRNA". It matches the Rfam family "Bacterial small subunit ribosomal RNA", at positions 71 to 422 of the family's 1533-position model. The record is from RNAcentral.